This 238-nucleotide ribosomal RNA is filed under the name uncultured bacterium. RNAcentral's name for it is "partial 16S ribosomal RNA". It matches the Rfam family "Bacterial small subunit ribosomal RNA", at positions 96 to 334 of the family's 1533-position model. The record is from RNAcentral.
UGGCGGACGGGUGAGUAACGCGUGGGUAACCUGCCUCACACUGGGGGACAACAGUUAGAAAUGACUGCUAAUACCGCAUAAGCGCACAGGACCGCAUGGUCUAGUGUGAAAAACUCCGGUGGUGUGAGAUGGACCCGCGUUUGAUUAGCUAGUUGGUGGGGUAACGGCCUACCAAGGCGACGAUCAAUAGCCGACCUGAGAGGGUGACCGGCCACAUUGGGACUGAGACACGGCCCAA